AUUGAACGCUGGCGGCAUUCCUUACACAUGCAAGUCGAACGGCAGCACGGGAGCUUGCUCCUGGUGGCGAGUGGCGAACGGGUGAGUAAUACAUCGGAACGUACCCUGAAGUGGGGGGAUAACGUAGCGAAAGUUACGCUAAUACCGCAUAUUCUGUGAGCAGGAAAGAGGGGGAUCGCAAGACCUCUUGCUUUAGGAGCGGCCGAUGUCGGAUUAGCUAGUUGGUGAGGUAAAGGCUCACCAAGGCGACGAUCCGUAGCGGGUCUGAGAGGAUGAUCCGCCACACUGGGACUGAGACACGGCCCAGACUCCUACGGGAGGCAGCAGUGGGGAAUUUUGGGACAAUGGGCGCAAGCCUGAUCCAGCCAUGCCGCGUGAGUGAAGAAGGCCUCGG
RNAcentral lists this ribosomal RNA (394 nucleotides) under uncultured bacterium. Its description in RNAcentral is "bacterial SSU rRNA". It matches the Rfam family "Bacterial small subunit ribosomal RNA", at positions 30 to 420 of the family's 1533-position model. The record is from RNAcentral.